This 497-nucleotide ribosomal RNA is filed under the name uncultured bacterium. Its description in RNAcentral is "partial 16S ribosomal RNA". It matches the Rfam family "Bacterial small subunit ribosomal RNA", at positions 28 to 507 of the family's 1533-position model. The record is from RNAcentral.
GAUGAACGCUGGCGGCGUGCCUAAUACAUGCAAGUCGAACGCUGAAGGAAGGAGCUUGCUCUUUCCGGAUGAGUUGCGAACGGGUGAGUAACGCGUAGGUAACCUGCCUGGUAGCGGGGGAUAACUAUUGGGAACGAUAGCUAAUACCGCAUAACAGUAGAUGUUGCAUGAUAUCUACUUAAAAGGUGCAAUUGCACCACUACCAGAUGGACCUGCGUUGUAUUAGCUAGUUGGUGAGGUAACGGCUCACCAAGGCGACGAUACAUAGCCGACCUGAGAGGGGGGUCCGCCACACUGGGACUGGGACACGGCCCAGACUCCUUCGGGAGGCAGCAGUAGGGAAUCUUUGGCAAUGGACGGAAGUCUGACCGGACAACGCCGCGUGAGGGAAGAAGGGUUUCGAAUCGUAAAGCUCUGUUGUAAGGGAAGAACGAGUGGGAGAGUGGAAAGUUCACACUGUGACGGUAUCUUACCAGAAAGGGACGGCUAACUACGUG